Callithrix jacchus (white-tufted-ear marmoset) is the source of this 2136-nucleotide RNA transcript. RefSeq lists it as uncharacterized. NCBI's taxonomy places the organism in Eukaryota, Metazoa, Chordata, Mammalia, Primates, Cebidae. The record is from RefSeq and is a predicted model, not a curated record.
AUGUUUUUAUUUCAGGGUUUAUUGACAUUCAGGGAUGUGGCCAUAGAAUUCUCUCAGGAGGAGUGGAGAUGCCUGGACCCUGCUCAGAGGACUUUAUACAGGGACGUGAUGUUGGAGAACUACAGGAACCUGGUCUCCCUGGAUAUCUUUUCUAAAUGUGAGACCAAAGAAUUACCACCAGAAGAGAAGAGUAAUACAGGAGAAACAUUCCAAACAGUAAUGUUGGAAAGAAUGAAAACCAGGGCGUGGGAGAUGUCUCCUGCAGAGAAAUCCAGAACAACUUACAUGACUCUCAAUGUUGGUGGAGACAUGAUGAAAGACAUUACAAAUUUAUGACCUAUAAGGGUAGAAAGGAUGACACGCAAACUUACCCUAUUAAAAGCCAGCUUGGAUUAAACGUCCAGUCACAUCUACCAGAACUGCAGGUAUUUCAAACUGAAGGGAAAACAUAUCAAUAUAAUCACACGGAAAAAAAAUUGAUCAACAGUAGUUCCUUAGUUUCCCCACCCCAAAGUAUUUCUUCUGCUGUCAAAACCCACCUUUCUCAUACAUAUAAAUGUCAUCUUACGGAUUCUGUAUUCACAGAAAAAGAGAGCAGAUGUUCAGACAGAACGUUACAAAUAUAACGAGUGUGGCAAGACCUUUCAUCAAGGCUUACAUUUUACUGUGUAUCAAAUAAUCCAUUCUGAAGAGAAGCAAUUUAAAUGUGAUAUAUGUGGCAACAUCUUCAAUAAAAAAUCAAACCUUGCAAGUCAUCGAAGAAUUCAUACCGGAGAGAAACCAUAUAAAUGUAAUUAAAUGGUCUUCAAUAAUAUUUCACACCUUGGGCAGCAUCGCAGGAUUCAUACCGGAGAGAAACCUUAUAAAUGUAACGAAUGUAGCAAAGUCUUCAGUCAAAUAUCACACCUUACGCAACAUCGAAGAAUUCAUACCGGAGAGAAACCUUAUAAAUGUAAUGAAUGUGGAAAGGUGUUCCAUCAGAUUUCACACCUUGCACAACAUGGGACAAUUCAUACCGGAGAGAAACCUCACAAAUGUCAUGGAUGCGGCAAGGUCUUUAGUCGCAAUUCAUACCUUGCCUAACAUCUGGUAAUUCAUACUGGUGAGAAACCUUACUGGUGUGAUGAAUGUGACAAAGGGUUCAGUCAAAAUUCACACCGGAGAGAAACCCUACAAAUGUAAUGAGUGCGGAAAGGUCUUCAGUCUAAACUCAUCCCUAGCACAUCAUAGGAAAAUUCACACUGGAGAGAAACCUUUUAAAUGCAAUGAAUGCGGCAAAACCUUUAGUGUGCGUUCAAGCCUUACUAACCAUUAUGUUAUCCAUGCUGGAGAGAAACCUUUCAAAUGCAAUAAUGCCGCAGAGCGUUCAGUCAGUAUUAAAGCCUUCCAGGACAUAGGGUAAUUUAUAUAGGAGAGUUGGGCGUGGUAGCUCCAUCCUGUAAUCCCAGCACUUUGGGAGGCUGAGGUGAAUGGAUCACCUGAGGUCAGGAGUUCAAGAAGCCUGACCAACAUGACGAAACAUGUCUUUACUAAAAAUACAGAUUAGCCUGUGGUGUUCGCGCCAAGGGCUCAAGACAGCUAGUUGACUCGCCCCAGUUUGGCUGCUGGACCUAUACUGCAUUUCCCACCUCGAGGGCUGUCGAGUGAGACAGGGCCGUGAGCUGACUCCCUAAAAGCAACAACAGAAUGCAAAGCAAAGGUCUGCAGUUUAUGAGGACAUUGUGCUGUCUGCUUCCAUGUCCCCCUUCAGUCUCUGUGUAAGCAAUAAACUUGCUGCAAUUGAGAUGCCUAAGAGGAGCAGAGACCUCUGCCCAUCUUUUCCCUGGAGCUAGGCCUUUGUCUUAGCUCCUGGUGAAAAACAGGUUUAACCAGCCACCUUAAGGGCGCCAUUGUAUCUUUGAAAUGUAAAAUCUUUGAAAUGUAAACUACUACCACUAGCCCCCUUAAACUGCCUUCUGUGCGGAUAUCACAAGCCCCUGAUAACUAUUUUAUGGAGUUUCUGUUUCCUUUCUGUCUACCCCUUUGUUUCUUUCUGCUGAGAUAAGGUAAAUGUAAACAAGACAAAAGGUAUAAAAGCUGUAACCCACAAAAAUAAAUUUGCUGCGUUUUGGCCAUAAUCUUCACGCAGCCCUCCAG